GCGCCUAUAGCUCAGUUGGUAGAGCGGACGUCUUAUACACGUCUGGUCCCUGGUUCGAGUCCAGGUAGGCGCA
This 73-nucleotide transfer RNA is filed under the name Minisyncoccota bacterium. RNAcentral's name for it is "tRNA-Ile". It matches the Rfam family "tRNA". From Rfam's summary of the family: Transfer RNA (tRNA) molecules are approximately 80 nucleotides in length. Lineage: Bacteria; Bacillati; Minisyncoccota. The record is from RNAcentral.